GCAGCUAAUGUCUGUGGCAACCUGGGUGUUUAGGAGCGGGCUAAAGCUAGAGUUCUCUUACUCUGUGAUGACGGGCACCACUUUCAGAUAAAAACAUAGACCUGAAUGGCAUCAUCCAGUAUCCAAGGAAACCAUGUAUUCAAGUAGUCACUCCUUCUCUGCCUGAUUUGAGACCAUGUUACCUACAGCUGCAUGGGACUGCAGAACUCACUGUGCCCUUCGAAUGUUAUGCCUGUCUGUCUCACUGACCCUUGGGUUGGGUGACAGCCUUGGAUGGGGCCCGUGCUGUAUUUAUGAUCCCAAAUCUCUUGCAGUACCCUGGAACAUCGUUCACCAGGGCCAGGAUGGAUUUGCUGUACACAGGAGUGAUCCUUUUCACCUGCCAUGUCCCUAGGUGUGUGAGAAUCUACAAUGGAGCCGAAAGAAUUACAUCUUCCUGGUUCACGCUCAGAAGGAUGCAUCUUUCAACAUUUUGAGAAUAAAUGGAAGAAAAAGGCUUAAAAGUAAAGUACCUUAAAACAUCUGAAUUUAAGAGGUCUCUAAGUCCACUGAUGACAGGAAAAUCUUCAGUGGUUCCAGAGACAAACUGCUGGAAAUCCUGCACAUUUAUUUUCUAGAAGGAAGUGAGCUGAUGAGGAGAGUGAUCUCUUCUGAGAGAUCCUCCCUUUAAAAAUCUGUAAAGGGGCUUCCCUGGUGGCGCAGUGGUUGGGAGUCCGCCUGCCGAUGCGGGGGGGGGGGGGGGGGGCGCGGGUUCUUGCCCCGGGGCGGGAAGAUCCCACAUGCCGCGGAGCGGCUGGGCCCGUGAGCCAUGGCCACUGAGCCUGCGCGUCCGGAGCCUGUGCUCCGCAACAGGAGA
This is a long non-coding RNA of Lagenorhynchus albirostris (white-beaked dolphin), 856 nucleotides long. RefSeq lists it as uncharacterized. NCBI's taxonomy places the organism in Eukaryota, Metazoa, Chordata, Mammalia, Artiodactyla, Delphinidae. The transcript is spliced from 6 exons. The record is from RefSeq and is a predicted model, not a curated record.